Molecule: long non-coding RNA, 1665 nt
Organism: Taeniopygia guttata (zebra finch)
Lineage: Eukaryota; Metazoa; Chordata; Aves; Passeriformes; Estrildidae
Source: Ensembl
AUGCUGCAGUGUAAGUGAUUGGUGCAGAGGGUGCACUAGGUACCUUUGUUAGAUUCUCAGAUGGCAGAAUGCACAGGUGUUUUUUCCAUGGUACCAGAAGGAGAUAAUGGAAAAUGUCUGUAUAUUCAUGUAUUUAAAGAGUUGCCACAAUCCUCUGCCACCUUGUGAAAGGUAGCAAAGAUCAGCCCCACAUAAGCAAUCUAAAGGUAACUUGGAAAGGUUCAGAAUAGAAAUUGAGUAGAAAGGUGUAAAUGGGGUUGGGCAAUGUUGGCUGCUGCUGUGUGUGUAAUCCUGUGUUCAGACCAGGGCUUUGGGCCUGUGCAGCUGCAACACUGAAUAUAAAAGAACUGCAGAUAAAAAACUGGAUAAAGAGUGCAAAUGGGGCUGAACGCUUGAUGCUGUGGCAGGUUCGUAGGUUUAAUGAGGCGCUCAGCCUGAGCAACAAGUUAAUGAACAAAAGGACUUCAAAAAUUACUAUUGAAGAAUGCAAAUUAAAUUACACAUUGGACAUGUUGCUGCCAUGUUUGUGGCAUGACCAGUGUUGGGUUUUACCUUGCUCAGAAGUAUAAGCAAGGGACUGAAAGAAAUUAACAUGUUAACAGACUGAUUUUCUAAUGGUAAGACUUCUGUCUCUGAAAUCCAGAAGCUGUCUCAAUCUACCAGUGAAAAGGAAGGCUGGUUCUAAGAAAUACAAGAUGUCUGUCUGCCUUAGGCUGACUUUCAGCUUGUACUGUUUUUCCUUAUGAAACUGAUACCCUGAAUUCAAGUGGUGGCAUUGGAAACCCAACUGUGCAACUGGUUUUUGAUGAGUUUUAGCUCUUUGUAGGCUCUGGCAAAUGAGACAACCAGAGGGAGUACAAAGCAGACAGAGCUCGUCUCUUUCCUAGUGGAGAACUGUGGAAACAGAGAACAGAGAAAGUGGAUGGGCAAAAACGGUGAUGGUGGGUGUUUGCUUUACACGGGCGCUGGCUGUGUAAGGGUGAGCUGUAAAAGCGGUUUAACGGGCGAGGAGUCAAAGCCCGGCCAGAGGUGCGUGUCAGUGGUCACAGGAGCUGCUUGAAGCCGAUGGUGGAGGGAAGCUCUCCUGAGGGGACACCCGGGGCUCUGAUUUGGGCGGGGAAUGAAGGCCCUGGUGGGGAGCCCCUGGCCGGGACCCGGCGCACACUCGCUCAGAGCUGCUCCCGACGGGCCCGGGGCCUCCCUCGGGGCGCGGGUCGAGCUGUGGGAGAGAGCCCGACACGGGCCCAGAGACGGGAGCGAGUCCGGGGCAGGGCCGGCUGAGGGAGCGGUGCUCGGGAUGCGAGCCGGGGCGGGGGCGCGCCAGCUCCCGGCGGAGGGGAACGGGGCAAGCGGAGCACAAAGGGCCGCGGAGCGGUGCCGGUGCCUGCGGUCAGUGUCGGGUUCGGAUUCGGGUUGGGGUCGGUGCCAGCGCCGUUGUCGGUGCCUGGGGUCGAUAUCGGUACCGGUAUCGGAUCCGGCGUCGGUGGUCGGUCUGGGUUUGGUGUCGGUGCCGGGUUCGGUGCCGGGUUCCGGUUCGGUCUGGGUUUGGUGUCGGUGCCGGGUGGGGGUUCGGUUGGGUUUGGUGUCGGUGCCGGGUGGGGGUUCGGUUGGGUUUGGUGUCGGUGCCGGGUGCGGGUUCGGCUGGGUUUGGUGUCGGUGCCGGGC